AUUGAACGCUGGCGGCAGGCCUAACACAUGCAAGUCGAGCGGUAGAGAGGUGCUUGCAUCUCUUGAGAGCGGCGGACGGGUGAGUAAUGCCUAGGAAUCUGCCUAGUGGUGGGGGAUAACGUUCGGAAACGGACGCUAAUACCGCAUACGUCCUACGGGAGAAAGCGGGGGAUCUUCGGACCUCGCGCCAUUAGAUGAGCCUAGGUCGGAUUAGCUAGUUGGUGAGGUAAUGGCUCACCAAGGCGACGAUCCGUAACUGGUCUGAGAGGAUGAUCAGUCACAC
RNAcentral lists this ribosomal RNA (283 nucleotides) under uncultured bacterium. Its description in RNAcentral is "partial 16S ribosomal RNA". It matches the Rfam family "Bacterial small subunit ribosomal RNA", at positions 30 to 313 of the family's 1533-position model. The record is from RNAcentral.